This is an RNA transcript of Solanum pennellii, 1835 nucleotides long. It is a transcript of the gene named ultraviolet-B receptor UVR8, with no coding region annotated. The record is from RefSeq and is a predicted model, not a curated record. The transcript has 17 exons. NCBI's taxonomy places the organism in Eukaryota, Viridiplantae, Streptophyta, Magnoliopsida, Solanales, Solanaceae.
UAAUGAAAAAAAAAAGAAAAAAAAGGAUUGAACAUUGGAGUAGACGUUGGCAGAGUUUAAGCCAUAGACUAGUUAUUGAAGAAGUAUGUAUAGUAUCGUUGAAGUUGAACAUCUUCCUUCAAUUGACAAAGAUGAUAAUAGGAAGAGCAGUUACAAAGAGAUCAUCGUGGUGUGUGAGGUGUUUUUCAGUUUCCAGUGUUGAAUUUAAUGGAAAUCGGCGAUUAGCAGCCCUUUGGGGGAACGGUGAUCAUGGCAGGCUAGGGCAUGGAAGUCUUGAGUCGCAAUGGAGACCUAAUGUUCUUCCUUCUUCUGCUUUUCAUAAUCAAAACCUCCGUCAAAUUGCAUGUGGCGGAGCUCAUUCUCUCUUUCUCACAGAUCAUGGUCGUGUUUAUGCCUGUGGACUCAAUGAUUAUGGACAGCUAGGGGUGUCAGAUGACAGAGCUUAUAUAAGUGAACCACUUGGAGUCGCUGGACUACCCAAAGAAAUUGUAAAAGUUUCAGCUGGUUGUCAUCAUUCUUCUGCUAUUACAGUGGAUGGAGAACUUUAUAUGUGGGGGAAGAACACAUAUGGUCAGCUUGGCCUUGGAAAGAAAGCUGAUACGGUACUGUCUAUACCCAAUAAAGUUGAAUGCUUGAAUGGAGUCACAAUCAAAAUCAUUUCCCUAGGUUUCGAACACUCAAUUGCUGUAACAGAUAAAGGUGAGACUUUGAGUUGGGGUGGGGGACAAUCAGGAAGACUUGGUCAUGGACAUCAAUCAGGCAUUUUUGGACUCAUAAAAAGUGACAGUGAAUACACACCACGACUUAUUAAGGAACUUGAGGGGUUGAAGGUUAAGAAUGCUUCUGCUGGAAUGUUGCAUUCUGUCUGCAUUAGCGCCACAGAGAAUGGAUCCGUACAUAUUUUUGGCGAAAGAGCAAAUAAGAAAUUGGGCUUUAGUGAAGCAUCAAAUUGUUCGCUACCAUCUGUGGUAGAUGGACUUCCAUAUGCUGAAAAGGCUGCAUGUGGAGGCUAUCAUACCUGUGUUAUUACAGGUGGUGGAGAACUGUACGUGUGGGGCACCAAUGAAAAUGGGUGUCUUGGUAUUGGAUCUACAGAUGUCGCUCAUUUACCUGAAAGAGUUGAAGGACCAUUUUUGAGGCAUUCAGUUUCUGAGGUAUCCUGUGGUUGGAAGCAUACAGCAGCAAUUUCUGUCUCCCCUUCCAAGUUGGAGAUAUCGACGCCACGGCUGAGACAAGACCAUAGCUAAGAAGGUGAAGACGUCGGAUGCUGUAGUGGAGAAUAAUUUAAUUUAUAUGAAUUUUUAAAUGAAAGAGAGUAGGUACAUACACCAUCAGAAAUUAGUGAAGGUGUUUUGCCAACCAUUGCAUGAGUGUAGGAGGAAAUGUUUACACUUGGGGAUGGGGAGGCUCCCAUGGGACGUUUUCUGUAGAUGGACAUUCUUCUGGCGGACAACUGGGUCAAGGAAAUGAUGUUGAUUACAUUAAGCCUACAAAAAUCAACUUUCGUAGACACGUAAAAGCAUUGCAAGUAUCCUGUGGGUUUAACCAUACAGGUGCUAUAUUUGAAUACUAGUUGGAACAUCAGUCUCGUUGUUUCUUGUCACGAAGGCAAAAAUAUAAUCUGCUGCUUACGGAAGGUUUGCAAAUUAGCUAAAUCUGACCUAAAUUCAAUUUCACGAUCACAUAUAUAAGCAGUCUGUUAUUGCAGCUAUACACUCCGCUUAACGAUUUGAAUGUAACCUUCAUACUAAACCUGUUUAUACCCAGUUUGUACCUUGUAAAUUCUAGCUUGUAUCAAAUAAAAUACGGAAAAGGAUUAAAAUGUCCUUAAUGUA